AACGUAGGGGGCGAGCGUUGCCCGGAUUCACUGGGCGUAAAGCGGGUGUAGGCGGUUCUUUUAAGUCGGAUGUGAAAUCCUGCGGCUCAACCGCGGAACUGCAUCCGAUACUGGGGAACUUGAGGACGGUAGAGGUCGGUGGAAUUCCAGGUGUACCGGUGAAAUGGGCAGAUAUCUGGAGGAACACCAGUGGCGAAGGCGGCCGACUGGGCCGAUCCUGACGCUGAGACCCGAAAGCCAGGGUAGCGAACCGG
Molecule: ribosomal RNA, 254 nt
Filed under: uncultured bacterium
Lineage: Bacteria
Description: partial 16S ribosomal RNA
Rfam family: Bacterial small subunit ribosomal RNA
Source: RNAcentral